This 301-nucleotide ribosomal RNA is filed under the name uncultured bacterium. RNAcentral describes it as "partial 16S ribosomal RNA". It matches the Rfam family "Bacterial small subunit ribosomal RNA", at positions 509 to 809 of the family's 1533-position model. The record is from RNAcentral.
CAGCCGCCGCGGUAAUGCGUAGGUGGCGAGCGUUGUCCGGAAUUAUUGGGCGUAAAGGGAGCGCAGGCGGACAUAUAAGUCCAUCUUAAGAGUGCGGGGCUCAACCCCGUGAGGGGAUGGAAACUGUAUGCCUUGAGUGCAGGAGAGGAAAGCGGAAUUCCCAGUGUAGCGGUGAAAUGCGUAGAUAUUGGGAGGAACACCAGUGGCGUAGGCGGCUUUCUGGACUGCAACUGACGCUGAGGCUCGAAAGCCAGGGGAGCGAACGGGAUUAGAUACCCCUGUAGUCCCUGUCUCUUAUACA